This 482-nucleotide ribosomal RNA is filed under the name uncultured bacterium. Its description in RNAcentral is "bacterial SSU rRNA". It matches the Rfam family "Bacterial small subunit ribosomal RNA", at positions 30 to 507 of the family's 1533-position model. The record is from RNAcentral.
AUUGAACGCUGGCGGAAUGCUUUACACAUGCAAGUCGAACGGCAGCACGGGGCAACCUGGUGGCGAGUGGCGAACGGGUGAGUAAUAUAUCGGAACGUGCCCAAUCGUGGGGGAUAACGUAGCGAAAGUUACGCUAAUACCGCAUACGAUCUACGGAUGAAAGCGGGAGAUCGCAAGACCUCGCGCGAAUGGAGCGGCCGAUAUCAGAUUAGGUAGUUGGUGGGGUAAAGGCUCACCAAGCCAACGAUCUGUAGCUGGUCUGAGAGGACGACCAGCCACACUGGAACUGAGACACGGUCCAGACUCCUACGGGAGGCAGCAGUGGGGAAUUUUGGACAAUGGGCGCAAGCCUGAUCCAGCCAUUCCGCGUGCAGGAUGAAGGCCUUCGGGUUGUAAACUGCUUUUGUACGGAACGAAACGGUCUGCCCUAAUACGGCGGGCUAAUGACGGUACCGUAAGAAUAAGCACCGGCUAACUACGUG